This 253-nucleotide ribosomal RNA is filed under the name uncultured bacterium. RNAcentral's name for it is "partial 16S ribosomal RNA". It matches the Rfam family "Bacterial small subunit ribosomal RNA", at positions 524 to 776 of the family's 1533-position model. The record is from RNAcentral.
UACGUAGGGUGCAAGCGUUGUCCGGAAUUAUUGGGCGUAAAGGGCUCGUAGGCGGUCUGUCGCGUCGGGAGUGAAGACACCGGGCUUAACUCGGUGCUUGCUUUCGAUACGGGCAGACUAGAGGCAUGCAGGGGAGAACGGAAUUCCUGGUGUAGCGGUGAAAUGCGCAGAUAUCAGGAGGAACACCGGUGGCGAAGGCGGUUCUCUGGGCAUGUCCUGACGCUGAGGAGCGAAAGUGUGGGGAGCGAACAGG